Molecule: non-coding RNA, 781 nt
Organism: Schizosaccharomyces pombe (fission yeast)
Lineage: Eukaryota; Fungi; Ascomycota; Schizosaccharomycetes; Schizosaccharomycetales; Schizosaccharomycetaceae
Source: the annotation of a GenBank genome assembly
CGAUUAGUAUGAAUUUUGAGAUUCUAUUAAAAUAUGAAUAGCAGCAAUUGUUAAACUAUCAAAAUUUUUCUUUUAUUCAUUAUACAAUGCUAUUUACUUAUUACGGUGAAAAACUAACACGUCAACCUCAAACAAUUUAGGAUUUAAACUUUCGCUUUCCAAUCAAGUUUAGAUUUUUAUUUUCCCUAAAAGUAGUCUUCUCAUUUGCACAUGAUUUUGUAAUGCUAAGCUUGGGGUAAAUGAAAGAGACCUCCCUUUUGUAAAAGAAAUCUGCGUAAUGCUUAUAACAUCGGGUCGUAAUUGCUUGACUCAAUAAUGUAAACAAAUUUUGUUAAAACUAUUUGUCCCUUGAAGAGGCAGUGUUAUAUAGUCAGAUUAGCAACACAAUAUAUUAAAAACAUCGAGGAAAUUUGCAUUAAUAAAUGCGAAAUUUUCGUAUUCUAUAUGAGCGAAACCUUAGCUAAAUAGUAUUGAUUAACUCAGAAAAGACCAAGCAUUCAUAGCGAAAUUAACAUGAAAAUUCGUGAUAAUAGCCUUGCUACAUGAAGGCAAGAAGUUCGUUUGUUUUUAAGCAAUGCAAGCAUGGCAUUAUUAUUAGCGCAUUGGCUUCUUCUAAAAAACACAAUCUUACAUUUUAAUUCGGUUGUGGAAAAAUUUGAUCUUUAGUUCAAUGUCUUUUGUAAACUGAUAAUUUUAACUUCAUUUUUUGGAAAUGUGCAUUUUGCUAAUGCAUAUAUAGCAGCAAGACCUUAAAUAACAAUAUAAGUUUUCAUGAGAACCA